AUACGGAGGGUCCAAGCGUUAUCCGGAUUCAUUGGGUUUAAAGGGUCCGCAGGCGGGAAAAUAAGUCAGUGGUGAAAGCCUGCAGCUCAACUGUAGAACUGCCAUUGAUACUGUUUUUCUUGAGUAUAGAUGAAGUGGGCGGAAUAUAUCAUGUAGCGGUGAAAUGCAUAGAUAUGAUAUAGAACACCGAUUGCGAAGGCAGCUCACUAAACUAUUACUGACGCUCAGGGACGAAAGCGUGGGGAGCGAACAGGAUUAGAAACCCUAGUAGUCC
Molecule: ribosomal RNA, 274 nt
Filed under: uncultured bacterium
Lineage: Bacteria
Description: partial 16S ribosomal RNA
Rfam family: Bacterial small subunit ribosomal RNA
Source: RNAcentral